This 253-nucleotide ribosomal RNA is filed under the name uncultured bacterium. RNAcentral's name for it is "partial 16S ribosomal RNA". It matches the Rfam family "Bacterial small subunit ribosomal RNA", at positions 524 to 776 of the family's 1533-position model. The record is from RNAcentral.
GACAGAGGGUGCAAACGUUGUCCGGAAUUAUUGGGCGUAAAGGGCUCGUAGGCGGUCUGUUGCGUCGGGAGUGAAAACUUACAGCUUAACUGUGAGCGUGCUUCCGAUACGGGCAGACUUGAGGUAUUCAGGGGAGAACGGAAUUCCUGGUGUAGCGGUGAAAUGCGCAGAUAUCUGGAGGAACACCGGUGGCGAAGGCGACAUCCUGGACCGGUAUUGACGCUGAGGCGCGAAAGCCAGGGGAGCAAACGGG